RNAcentral lists this ribosomal RNA (495 nucleotides) under uncultured bacterium. RNAcentral describes it as "partial 16S ribosomal RNA". It matches the Rfam family "Bacterial small subunit ribosomal RNA", at positions 28 to 507 of the family's 1533-position model. The record is from RNAcentral.
GACGAACGCUGGCGGCGUGCCUAAUACAUGCAAGUAGAACGCUGAAGGAGGAGCUUGCUUCUCUGGAUGAGUUGCGAACGGGUGAGUAACGCGUAGGUAACCUGCCUGGUAGCGGGGGAUAACUAUUGGAAACGAUAGCUAAUACCGCAUAAUAGUAGAUGUUGCAUGACAUUUGCUUAAAAGGUGCAAUUGCAUCACUACCAGAUGGACCUGCGUUGUAUUAGCUAGUUGGUGGGGUAACGGCUCACCAAGGCGACGAUACAUAGCCGACCUGAGAGGGUGAUCGACCACACUGGGACUGAGACACGGCCCAGACUCCUACGGGAGGCAGCAGUAGGGAAUCUUCGGCAAUAGACGGAAGUCUGACCGAGCAACGCCGCGUGAGUGAAGAAGGUUUUCGGAUCGUAAAGCUCUGUUGUAAGAGAAGAACGAGUGUGAGAGUGGAAAGUUCACACUGUGACGGUAUCUUACCAGAAAGGGACGGCUAACUACGUG